This is an unclassified non-coding RNA of Chlorocebus sabaeus (green monkey), 393 nucleotides long. It matches the Rfam family "Bacterial RNase P class B". Rfam says of the family: Ribonuclease P (RNase P) is a ubiquitous endoribonuclease, found in archaea, bacteria and eukarya as well as chloroplasts and mitochondria. Its best characterised activity is the generation of mature 5'-ends of tRNAs by cleaving the 5'-leader elements of precursor-tRNAs. Cellular RNase Ps are ribonucleoproteins. The record is from Ensembl. Lineage: Eukaryota; Metazoa; Chordata; Mammalia; Primates; Cercopithecidae.
AAAGGCGGUGCGUAACUUUGCCUCCUUGAAAGGAGGUGAAGAGGAAAGUCCAUGCUUGCAUAGUCUGAAAUGACUAUAGUGUUUGUGUAAGUAUAUAAAAAAUAAAACUUAACAACUGGAAAAACUAGUUGAUGGCGGAAAAAAGUUCUACGUAAACUAAAAAUUUAUAUGAAUAAUUCUCCCUAAAGUGCCACAGAGACGAGCUUUGCAGAAAUGCAAAUUAUGAAACGCGGUAAACCCCUCAAGCAAGAAACCUAAAAAUUGGUAAGGGAAUUCAGACAAAGGAAAAAAACGGAGUCUAAAAAUAUAAGUUUUUUCUUAUAUUAGAUUAAUUACUCACGUCUAACUAUCUCAUUUUUAAAAGAUGUUAGAUACAGAACAUGGCUUAUAGUC